UACAGAGGGUGCAAGCGUUAAUCGGAAUUACUGGGCGUAAAGAGUGCGUAGGUGGUUGGAUAAGUUAGGUGUGAAAUCCCUGGGCUCAACCCAGGAACUGCGCUUAAAACUGUUCGGCUAGAGUAUUGUAGAGGAUAGUGGAAUUUCCAGUGUAGCGGUGAAAUGCGUAGAUAUUGGAAGGAACACCAGUGGCGAAGGCGGGUCUCUGGACAGUUCCUGACACUGAGGCACGAAGGCCAGGGGAGCAAACGGG
This 253-nucleotide ribosomal RNA is filed under the name uncultured bacterium. RNAcentral's name for it is "partial 16S ribosomal RNA". It matches the Rfam family "Bacterial small subunit ribosomal RNA", at positions 524 to 776 of the family's 1533-position model. The record is from RNAcentral.